This 219-nucleotide unclassified non-coding RNA is filed under the name Hevea brasiliensis (rubber tree). The record is from RNAcentral. Lineage: Eukaryota; Viridiplantae; Streptophyta; Magnoliopsida; Malpighiales; Euphorbiaceae.
AACACAGCAACACCAACCACCAUAACUUGAGCAAAAAUUGCCAGGACGUUAACCUUCCAGGGUAACUAGGAUUCCUUCUUUUUAUUGUUGGGAUGUUUGGAAGUGCCUCAGGAUCAGAUGCUUUGCGAGAGCAAGAAAGUAAAAGAGACAUGAGGGAAAUGCCAUCGCCAAGGGAAUGGUGGAUGCGAAAAAUGACAGUAGAUUCAGCUUCAGAGGUUU